GAUGAACGCUGGCGGCGUGCCUAAUACAUGCAAGUCGAGCGAACAGACGAGGAGCUUGCUCCUCUGACGUUAGCGGCGGACGGGUGAGUAACACGUGGAUAACCUACCUAUAAGACUGGGAUAACUUCGGGAAACCGGAGCUAAUACCGGAUAAUAUAUUGAACCGCAUGGUUCAAUGGUGAAAGACGGCGUUGCUGUCACUUAUAGAUGGAUCCGCGCCGCAUUAGCUAGUUGGUCAGGUAACGGCUUACCAAGGCAACGAUGCGUAGCCGACCGGAGAGGGGGAUAGGCCACAUGGGAACGGAGACACGGUCCAGACUACUAAGGGAGGCAGCAGUAGGGAAUCGUCCGCAAUGGGCGAAAGUUUGACGGAGCAACGGCGCGUGAGUGAUGAAGGUGUUCGGAUCGUAAAACUCUGUUAUGAGGGAAGAACAAAUGUGUAAGUAACUAUGCCCGUCUUGACGGUACCUAAUCAGAAAGCCACGGCUAACUACGUG
RNAcentral lists this ribosomal RNA (497 nucleotides) under uncultured bacterium. RNAcentral's name for it is "partial 16S ribosomal RNA". It matches the Rfam family "Bacterial small subunit ribosomal RNA", at positions 28 to 507 of the family's 1533-position model. The record is from RNAcentral.